AACGCACAUUGCGCCCUUUGGCAUUCCGAAGGGCAUGCCUGUUCGAGCGUCAUUAUCCUCCCUCAAACCUCGGGUUUGGUGUUGGACCGCGUUGGAGCCCCCCGGGGCCCCCCAACUGGUCUCAAAGACAAUGACGGCGUCCGUGGGACCCUCUUCGCACUGAGCUUUCCGGAGCACGCGUCGAGUUUCAAGGCCCCAGGGACCCGGUCACCUAAUUUUACUUCUAAGGUUGACCUCGGAUCAGGUAGGAAUACCCGCUGAACUUAA
RNAcentral lists this unclassified non-coding RNA (267 nucleotides) under uncultured fungus. RNAcentral describes it as "partial contains 5.8S ribosomal RNA, internal transcribed spacer 2, and large subunit ribosomal RNA". The record is from RNAcentral. RNAcentral also lists the same sequence under 1 other name. Lineage: Eukaryota; Fungi.